UUUCUUUGGAAAUACUUGGUUUCCUCUUUAGCGAUGGCCAGCAUUGGGACUUAGGCCUUUCUUUUCUAAACCAAAUGACAUGGGGUGGUGAACACACAAUUCAAUGUACAAAUGAUACAGACUUGUACACCUGAAACCUAGAUAAUUUUAUUAACCAGUAUCACCCCAAUAAAGUCAAUUAAUAAAUACAGGAUAUAAAGAACUACAGAAACAAGCCAGGGAGAUUUUGUUCUGGCUUUGUUCCUGUUCAAAUUUAAUACUGGAGUUUCCCUGUCUCCCUCUGAAUGGGACUCUGCAAAUGGCUUAAAGGUCCUGUGCUCCUUCAGGACAUUAAGCUUCCAAAUCCUUUAUAGCCCAAUCUGAGUUAUCAAGGAUGUCAGGUUUUUGUCCAUAGUUUUAAGACUCUUAACACAUUUAGGUUCACAGCAAAAGAAGGUACAGAGGUUUCUGAUACACUUCCUGCCCCCACCCCUAAUAUGUGUAGUCUCACACCGUAACACCCAUCACUGGGGGGUACAUUUAUUGUAAUGGGUGAACAUCUGUUCAUGUAAUCACGCAAAGUCUAUAGUCUUUAGCUUUACUUUUGCUGUUGUGUUAUCAGUAUUUAUCUAGACAAAUUUAUGACGACGUGCUUCAUCAUAGAAUAGAGUAUUUUUACUGCUCUCAAAAUAUGUUCUGUUCAUCCUUCCUGUUCUCAGUCUAUGGUAACCACUGGUCUUUGGUAUUGUCGCUGGUUUUGCCUUUUCCAAAAUGUGUAGUUAGGAUCACACGAUACAUGGCCUUUCCUUUUCCUAAUUUUCUUUUUAUCCUCACCCAAGGACAUUUUUUUUCUUUUUUCAUUGAGAUAGCGAGCCCACAAGAGAAACAUUUAAUAGUUGCUGCCUUGUAUGUGCCCCAGCAGGGAAUCAAACCCACAACCUUUUGGUCUGUGGCCUGGAUGUUCCAACCAAUUGAGACACACCAGCCAGGGAUACAUACCCUUUUCAGAUAGGUUUCACUUAAAGCAGCAAUUUUUCAACUGGUGUGGGUGCUGAAAGAUUUAUUCUCUUGUAGAGAGAAGGAGAGAUGAUCAAUUUGUUCCACUUACACAUUCAUUGGUUCUUGUAGGUGCCUUGACCAGGUAUCAAGCCUGCAAACUUGGUUGGCAUAUUGGGACAAAUGCUCUUACUAAGUUACUUGGUUAGAGCUGACCUUGCAAGAAUUUUUAAAACAUGAUAGCUAUUUAGUCAGGGGCACGGACCCCUUUUCCCUUAGAUUGUCAAAGAAAAAAUGACAGCUAACAAGAAUAGCUGUCCACUGUGAAUGAAUUAGGUUUAUUUGUCAGAUCAGCAAAAAGUAUUUUUU
Molecule: long non-coding RNA, 1344 nt
Organism: Phyllostomus discolor (pale spear-nosed bat)
Lineage: Eukaryota; Metazoa; Chordata; Mammalia; Chiroptera; Phyllostomidae
Exons: 2
Source: RefSeq, a predicted model, not a curated record